RNAcentral lists this ribosomal RNA (872 nucleotides) under uncultured bacterium. RNAcentral describes it as "bacterial SSU rRNA". It matches the Rfam family "Bacterial small subunit ribosomal RNA", at positions 92 to 985 of the family's 1533-position model. The record is from RNAcentral.
AGAGUGGCGAAAGGGCGAGGAAUACAUUUCUACGUACCUCGAGGUCGAGGAUAAUCAGGGGAAACUCUGACUAAUACUCGAUGAUAUGGCUGAUGAAUAGUUAGCCAUCAAAGGCUUGCUGCCUUGAGAGCGGGGAAUGUCCUAUCAGGUAGUUGGUGAGGUAAUGGCUCACCAAGCCAAAGACGGGUAGCGGGUGUGAGAGCACGGCCCGCCGCAUCGGGACUGAGACACUGCCCGGACUCCUACGGGAGGCUGCAGUAACGAAUCUUCCGCAAUGCGCGAAAGCGUGACGGGGCAAUGCCGCGUGCAGGAUGAAGCCCCUCGGGGUGUAAACUGCUGUCAGGGUUUAGGAAACAAAUGACCAGACCCAAAGGAAGAGCCGGCUAACUCUGUGCCAGCAGCCGCGGUAAUACAGAGGGCUCGAGCGUUAAUCGGAAUCACUGGGCUUAAAGCGUGCGUAGGCGGGUGUGCAGGCAUGUUGUGAAAUCCCAUGGCUCAACCAUGGAAUUGCUUCGUGAACCGCACAUCUUGAGGCUGGUAGAGGCAGUUGGAACGCUAGGUGGAGCGGUGAAAUGCGUAGAUAUCUAGCGGAACGCCGAAGGUGAAGACAAGCUGCUGGGCCAGUCCUGACGCUGAGGCACGAAAGCGUGGGGAGCAAACGGGAUUAGAUACCCCGGUAGUCCACGCCCUAAACGAUGCGCACUAGAUCGAGGUGAUUGACUUCACCUUGGUCGAAGCAAAAGUGUUAAGUGCGCCGCCUGGGGAGUACGGUCGCAAGGCUAAAACUCAAAGGAAUUGACGGGGGCUCACACAAGCGGUGGAGCAUGUGGCUUAAUUCGAAGCAACGCGAAGAACCUUAUCCUAUGCUUGAC